RNAcentral lists this transfer RNA (76 nucleotides) under bacterium. Its description in RNAcentral is "tRNA-Phe". It matches the Rfam family "tRNA". From Rfam's summary of the family: Transfer RNA (tRNA) molecules are approximately 80 nucleotides in length. RNAcentral also lists the same sequence under 3 other names. The record is from RNAcentral.
GGUUCUGUAGCUCAGUUGGUAGAGCAGCGGCCUGAAGAGCCGCGUGUCACUGGUUCAAGUCCAGUCGGAACCACCA